RNAcentral lists this ribosomal RNA (429 nucleotides) under uncultured bacterium. RNAcentral's name for it is "bacterial SSU rRNA". It matches the Rfam family "Bacterial small subunit ribosomal RNA", at positions 355 to 776 of the family's 1533-position model. The record is from RNAcentral.
UGGGGAAUAUUGGACAAUGGGGGAAACCCUGAUCCAGCGAUGCCGCGUGAGUGAAGAAGGCCUUCGGGUCGUAAAGCUCUUUAGGUUGGGAAGAAGGGUAUGAGGUGAAUAGCCUUGUACUUUGACGGUACCGACAGAAUAAGCACCGGCAAACUCUGUGCCAGCAGCCGCGGUAAUACAGAGGGUGCUAGCGUUAAUCGGAAUUACUGGGCGUAAAGGGCGCGUAGGCGGUAAGAUAUGUGUGGUGUGAAAGCCCUGGGCUUAACCUAGGAAGUGCAUCGCAAACUGUCUUGCUGGAGUAUAUGAGAGGGUGGCGGAAUUUCCGGUGUAGCGGUGAAAUGCGUAGAGAUCGGAAGGAACGUCGAUGGCGAAGGCAGCCACCUGGCAUAAUACUGACGCUGAGGCGCGAAAGCGUGGGGAGCGAACAGG